CCCAGCCCGCGAGCGCCAUUUGCUCUUUUCUAUUUUCAAGCAGCACAUCUCAGCCCUCAAGAGCUUCUCCCAUUUUCAAGCAGCGGCAUCCCAUCGCCAUCGAGCAGCGGCAUCUUCCAUCGCCAUCAAGCAGCGUCUUCAAAUAGGAUGUGGGCUGUGCAUCAUAUCAUUCCUCUGUUUAUUUUGCCAAGGUUGGUGGAUACAUAGUGGAGUAAAAGGGAGAAAACACUAGUGCAGUGAGAGGAGCAGGUCAUGAUUUCUUUCUCAAUCUUUUUUUUUUUUUUGCUUUUUAGUAGAAAAUCAGUAGUAGUUUGUUGAUGAUAACAUUUAUAGGAUAAUGAGAAAGUGGAUAUGCGAAGGCUUGUUGAUUGGAACCAAUCAAUGGAAGUCUUGAAGCUAAUUGCAAUACCUGCUUAAAGCUUCAAAAAAUGGGUUCAAUUCCUUGCCCAAAAACAUAUCAGUUGUGGCUAUCAAAUAUAUAAUAUCACCUCCUUAUAGGGAAACAUUUAAUGAUGUGUAUAGGUAAAUUCAUUUUUUCUUAUUCCUUAUAUUGUUUUCCAGUUAUAUUUGUGUUGGUUUUAGAGUACAGGUAGCGAUAGAAAUUGUUGGUCGAUUGUGGCUUGUAGACAAAGGGAUAAGUAACCAACAAUACAAAUAUGGGAGGCCUUCCCUAGGAUGAUGGAAUAUACGAAGCUGUUGAAAUUUCAGGGUGAAGUCGAGCACAUUUCUCUAAUGAAGCCAAAGAUUUGUAUUUUCAGCA
Magnolia sinica is the source of this 760-nucleotide long non-coding RNA. RefSeq lists it as uncharacterized. The record is from RefSeq and is a predicted model, not a curated record. The transcript has 6 exons. NCBI's taxonomy places the organism in Eukaryota, Viridiplantae, Streptophyta, Magnoliopsida, Magnoliales, Magnoliaceae.